This 73-nucleotide transfer RNA is filed under the name Candidatus Woesearchaeota archaeon. Its description in RNAcentral is "tRNA-Val". It matches the Rfam family "tRNA". Rfam says of the family: Transfer RNA (tRNA) molecules are approximately 80 nucleotides in length. Their secondary structure includes four short double-helical elements and three loops (D, anti-codon, and T loops). Lineage: Archaea; Nanobdellati; Candidatus Woesearchaeota. The record is from RNAcentral. RNAcentral also lists the same sequence under 1 other name.
GGGCCCGUAGUCUAGUGGCUAUGACGUCUCCCUCACGCGGAGAAGGUCCCCGGUUCAAAUCCGGGCGGGCCCA